ACAAUCGAACGUAAAAGGUAACCGAUACGUUUGGAAACUGACUCUAAUACGUCCAUACAUCGUAACGAUGAAAGCUCGAUCACCUUCUUAGCCUUGCGCAACCAGAUGACCCUAGGUCUUAAUACCGGCUUGGUGAGGCAAUGGCUCGCCACCGCUACGAUCGAUCCCUGGGCUGAGAGGAUGAUCAGUCACACUGGAACUGAGACACGGUCCAGACUCCUACGGGAGGCAGCAGUGGGGAAUAUUGGACAAUGGGCGAAAGCCUGAUCCAGCCAUGCCGCGUGUGUGAAGAAGGUCUUCGGAUUGUAAAGCACUUUAAGUUGGGAGGAAGGGCAUUAACUUAAUACGUUAGUGUUUUGACGUUACCGACAGAAUAAGCACCGGCUAACUCUGUGCCAGCAGCCGCGGUAAUACAGAGGGUGCAAGCGUUAAUCGGAAUUACUGGGCGUAAAGCGCGCGUAGGUGGUUUGUUAAGUUGAAUGUGAAAUCCCCGGGCUCAACCUGGGAACUGCAUCCAAAACUGGCAAGCUAGAGUAUGGUAGAGGGUAGUGGAAUUUCCUGUGUAGCGGUGAAAUGCGUAGAUAUAGGAAGGAACACCAGUGUCGAAGGCGACUACCUGAACUGAUACUGACACUGAGGUGCGAAAGCGUGUGGAGCAAACAGGAUUAUAUACCCUGUUAGUUCCACGCCGUAAACGAUAUCAACUAGCCGU
RNAcentral lists this ribosomal RNA (712 nucleotides) under uncultured bacterium. RNAcentral describes it as "bacterial SSU rRNA". It matches the Rfam family "Bacterial small subunit ribosomal RNA", at positions 121 to 823 of the family's 1533-position model. The record is from RNAcentral.